GAUUCCAUAGUGUAGUGGUUAGCAUGUCUGCUUUACACACAGAAGGUCCUGGGUUUGUGCCCCAGUGGAGCCA
This 73-nucleotide transfer RNA is filed under the name Pteropus alecto (black flying fox). It matches the Rfam family "tRNA". From Rfam's summary of the family: Transfer RNA (tRNA) molecules are approximately 80 nucleotides in length. Their secondary structure includes four short double-helical elements and three loops (D, anti-codon, and T loops). Further hydrogen bonds mediate the characteristic L-shaped molecular structure. tRNAs have two regions of fundamental functional importance: the anti-codon, which is responsible for specific mRNA codon recognition, and the 3' end, to which the tRNAs corresponding amino acid is attached (by aminoacyl-tRNA synthetases). tRNAs cope with the degeneracy of the genetic code in two manners: having more than one tRNA (with a specific anti-codon) for a particular amino acid; and 'wobble' base-pairing, i.e. permitting non-standard base-pairing at the 3rd anti-codon position. RNAcentral also lists the same sequence under 1 other name. Lineage: Eukaryota; Metazoa; Chordata; Mammalia; Chiroptera; Pteropodidae. The record is from Rfam by way of RNAcentral.